Molecule: long non-coding RNA, 2555 nt
Organism: Dicentrarchus labrax (European seabass)
Lineage: Eukaryota; Metazoa; Chordata; Actinopteri; Moronidae
Exons: 3
Source: RefSeq, a predicted model, not a curated record
CACAAAAACCAUUCUGCCCGCACAGUUCAUUCGCCAGGAGGAAAUGGUCACUCUUAGACUCGGUGGUGCCGCUAAACCCUGUGCUGGUUUUCAAGGGAUUUGGAGAAAAAGAAAAGAAUCCUAAUACACCUGAGCAUUCAGCAGAUGGAAACUUGAUAUGUCAGCUAAAGAUGCAAUAAGAUAUCCACAGCUGUGGGAGGACAAUGGGGAGGCUGUAACCUUAUUUCCUCCAGACUGCCAUGAUGAAAUUCUGCAGACUGAUGUGCCAAUAGCUCCAAAACCCUCAGAUGAGCCUUUAAUAUUGACAGAAGGGAGUUUAAUCUUCUCUUCGAGUGGAAAACACUCGUGCUGCCCCAAGAUUCACCUCUCCAUGACUAAGUGAACUCUAAUUUUUCCAUUUGAAGAAAAGCUCUUAACAGAUCUGCUAUUAACAGUUGAAGUAAAACGUGGAAAAUUCUCAAAGUUAUUACAAAUGUUAUUCUCCGCUUCAACUCUUGUUUCCUUUGGGCAUGAAUUUCCAUUUCAUUUGAUUCUAUUUUAUUAGAACUAGCUGAGUAGUACGAUAAGAACAUUUGUUGUAAAAAGUGUCACAUACUGUACUUUUCUUUUGCAGAAUUUUGAACUGGAUUUCUGCUGUGCUUUCAAUCACACUAGCUCUUUUUGAGAAGUACUUUGACAUUAUUUUGUAACCUAAUUCUUUGUUUUUUAUGUACAAGCACAUCAGAUGUACAAAGCAAAAACAAGAAAAUAAAAUAUGCCGGGAGGAAUUGGAGAAAACUGCAAGGACAAAAAAUCUAAUAACAAUAGACACAGGAUGAGACACCAGGCUCCCAGAGAUACCAGCAGCUUGUCAGAGUGACUAGUGGAGGACAUUUCACUCACCACUGCCCAAAACAGUCACUUCCUCAAAAUCUGACACACCCUUCAGAUGGCAGAAAGCUGCAUAUGGUGAACUACAUGGAGACAGAUGCAACUGUGAAGCCUGUAUGGCUCACACAGUUAAAUGAGCUGGCCAAUGAUGGAAUAAAUGCUCACAUGCAGGGUACGUCAGGUUUACAGAUCUGACAGGGAUAGUGUAAGCCUCAGAAAUCAGAAAAUGAAUCGCAACUGCAGUUAUGAGAGAUACUUUCAAGGUUAGCAUAGGAAUAUUACUUUUCACCACAAUGACAUAAAAAUAAAUCUCACUUUCUGCAAAACAUUAUAUUUGGUUUCCAGGUAAGAAACAACGUGGAUCUGAGUUUAAAUUUAUAUUUAAUUUGGUUUUGAAGUGAAAUCCUUACACCAUGUACAUGCAUUACAUUGUAAACACAGUAACCAUAGACCAGCUGAUUACAUUCUCAUAAUGAAGGUUCAUCAGUAGUGGACUCAGACUGUCUGAGAGGCAAAAAAAAGGGCAUCAGCGGCAUGCUGUGGGGCACCAGCGCACAGUCAUGAUGCAUUUAUGUUGAAACACUUCCAAACCCUAGCAAAAUGAUAUUAUGUGACUCAGAUUUAAAGUAUAACUACUACACAUCUGCAAUAAAAACACACAGGGAACCAUUAACUACUUAACCAUAUAGAGGCAUGUAGAGAGCAACUACUUUUCUAGCAUGUAGGGCAGCCUAUAUGGCAUCACAUUACAUUUUCUCCAGGUUAUCACAUUUUCUCCAUCUUAAGAGCACCCAUUAGUGCACUGCAUCAAAUUUUAUCCACCAGUGGAGGCUAUUCAAAGUGCUUUAUAUGAAGUUUGGAAAAACAAAACAAAUCCCCCCCCCGGGAUCAAUUAAGUAUUUCUGAUUCUGUAUUUCUGAUUCUGAAUUGCAUGAGAAUAUAAUGUAAUUUCAGUGCAGUUAGAGUGCAUUAUGCUCAGUCACAAUGUGAGUGAGUGAAUACAGCUGAACCUUCAAAGCAUGUAGGAGAAAACUAUGGUAGAUGCCAAAAGACUUUAUUUAGACCCAGUGUCUGUAUAAAUAUGGCAGUUCAAAAUGGCAGUCUGUAGGUAAAAUGUAACAAAAACACAACAAUUUGUAUAUUCAGGUGGUAAUACACUAAUGAAAACUGAACUAUGAACAGAUCGUACUAAAUUUUACACACUGGAACUUUAACAACAUGUAUUGACCUUUUCUUGGUUUAUCUAAUGGUGUUUCAGAAGGUUUUCAUUAGUCCAGAGUUUCAGCAGCAGAGAAGUAGAGUGAUGGGCGGCGACAAGCUAUAUUGUCCAGGUGGAAAAAUGCAGUGCUGGUGAUUUGGUUGACGUGGUGUCCAAAGGAGAGUUUGCUAAUGAAAAUGACACAGAGGUUGGAGAUGUGUGGGGAGGGAGAAAUUGUGAGUGUUUUGGUGUCUUUCAAUACGGAUGUAUGGAUACUGGGCUUCUUUACCCAUAUCGGUGGAAGAUCAUUGCUUGCACAUUUGAGUCAUUUGUUGUUUGGCACCAACAACCUCAAAUCACAAGUUUACAGAUAUAUUUAGCCAAGUAGAACAGAUGUUAGUUGUUGUUCUUCAAACCCAGCAAAAUGCGUGUGUAUGUUCAAAUUGUGUCCUGCACCUUUAAUAAAAGCACAGAUUAGUUUAAGUAA